UUCUGAUCCUGGGCUUGCACUGAUAUCGUCUUGUACCGUUCUAGGUACAACUCAUAUCAAUGUUUUUCAUAUAAUAUGAAAUACAUAAAUCACCUUUCUGCGUAUGCAUAAAGGAUUCAAUUUACGCAUUAUUUCUUUGGGAGUCAAAGGGUACAUUCCCUUUGAGAAGGGCAACUUGCUAGUCUCACUAGAAUCGUCCUUCUUAUUGAAGUUUAUCAUCAUAUAAGAAACUUCCUAGCAUCCAUUGUCUAUUAUUAGGGAUUGAUAUAAUCCAAUUAUAUCAUG
This 285-nucleotide long non-coding RNA is filed under the name Malus domestica (apple). RNAcentral's name for it is "long non-coding RNA (MDOM_LNC010442)". Lineage: Eukaryota; Viridiplantae; Streptophyta; Magnoliopsida; Rosales; Rosaceae. The record is from RNAcentral.